UAAGGAAUAUUGGUCAAUGGACGCAAGUCUGAACCAGCCAUGCCGCGUGGAGGAUGAAGGUCCUCUGGAUUGUAAACUUCUUUUAUCUGGGAAGAAAUCCAUUUUUUCUAAAAUGGUUGACGGUACCAGAUGAAUAAGCACCGGCUAACUCCGUGCCAGCAGCCGCGGUAAUACGGAGGGUGCAAGCGUUAUCCGGAUUUACUGGGUUUAAAGGGUGCGUAGGCGGAUAGGUAAGUCAGUGGUGAAAUCUCCGAGCUUAACUCGGAAACUGCCGUUGAUACUAUUUAUCUUGAAUACCGUGGAGGUGAGCGGAAUAUGUCAUGUAGCGGUGAAAUGCUUAGAUAUGACAUAGAACACCGAUUGCGAAGGCAGCUCACUACGCGGUCAUUGACGCUGAGGCACGAAAGCGUGGGGAUCAAACAGGAUUAGAUACCCUGGUAGUCCACGCCCUAACGAUGAUCACUCGACAUACGCGAUAUACAG
Molecule: ribosomal RNA, 483 nt
Filed under: uncultured Bacteroidota bacterium
Lineage: Bacteria; Pseudomonadati; Bacteroidota
Description: bacterial SSU rRNA
Rfam family: Bacterial small subunit ribosomal RNA
Source: RNAcentral